GACGAACGCUGGCGGCGUGCCUAAUACAUGCAAGUCGAGCGAAGCGGCGGAUGGGUGAGAAAUGCGUGGGUAACCUGCCCUUCAGUCUGGGAUACAAGAUGGAAACGGAUGCUAAUACCGGAUACUAAAGGAUGGACCUGCGAUGCAUUAGCUAGUUGGUAAGGUAACGGCUUACCAAGGCGAUGAUGCAUAGCCGAGUUGAGAGGCUGAUCGGCCACAUUGGGACUGAGACACGGCCCAGACUCCUACGGGAGGCAGCAGUAGGGAAUCUUCCACAAUGGACGAAAGUCUGAUGGAGCAACGCCGCGUGAGUGAAGAAGGUUUUCGGAUCGUAAAGCUCUGUUGUUGGUGAAGCGGUAAUCAACCAGAAAGGCACGGCUAACUACGUGCCAGCAGCCGCGGUAAUUC
RNAcentral lists this ribosomal RNA (408 nucleotides) under uncultured bacterium. RNAcentral's name for it is "partial 16S ribosomal RNA". It matches the Rfam family "Bacterial small subunit ribosomal RNA", at positions 28 to 526 of the family's 1533-position model. The record is from RNAcentral.